CCCUUAGAUGUUCUGGGCCGCACGCGCGCUACACUGAUGCAUUCAACGAGUCUAAAACCUGCUCUGAUAGGGGUGGGUAAUCUUUUGAAUGUGCAUCGUGAUUGGGAUAGAUGAUUGCAAUUUUUCAUCUUCAACGAGGAAUGCCUAGUAAACGCAAGUCAUCAGCUGGCAUUGAUUACGUCCCUGCCCUUUGUACACACCGCCCGUCGCUCCUACCGAUUGAAUGAUCCGAUGAAUAUCAUGGAUUGAGGAUGCAAGCAGGUUCGCCUGUCUUCAUCUUCGAGAAGUGAAGUAGAUCUUAUCAUUUAGAGGAAGGAGAAGGCGUAACA
RNAcentral lists this ribosomal RNA (329 nucleotides) under uncultured eukaryote. Its description in RNAcentral is "partial 18S ribosomal RNA". It matches the Rfam family "Eukaryotic small subunit ribosomal RNA", at positions 1470 to 1796 of the family's 1831-position model. The record is from RNAcentral.